GACGAACGCUGGCGGCGUGCUUAACACAUGCAAGUCGAACGGAAAGGCCCUGCUUUUGUGGGGUGCUCGAGUGGCGAACGGGUGAGUAACACGUGAGUAACCUGCCCUUGACUUUGGGAUAACUUCAGGAAACUGGGGCUAAUACCUGAUAGGAGCUCCUGCUGCAUGGUGGGGGUUGGAAAGUUUCGGCGGUUGGGGAUGGACUCGCGGCUUAUCAGCUUGUUGGUGGGGUAGUGGCUUACCAAGGCUUUGACGGGUAGCCGGCCUGAGAGGGUGACCGGCCACAUUGGGACUGAGAUACGGCCCAGACUCCUACGGGAGGCAGCAGUGGGGAAUACUGCACAAUGGGCGGAAGCCUGAUGCAGCAACGCCGCGUGCGGGAUGACGGCCUUCGGGUUGUAAACCGCUUUCGCCUGUGACGAAGCGUGAGUGACGGUAAUGGGUAAAGAAGCACCGGCUAACUACGUG
This 468-nucleotide ribosomal RNA is filed under the name uncultured bacterium. RNAcentral's name for it is "partial 16S ribosomal RNA". It matches the Rfam family "Bacterial small subunit ribosomal RNA", at positions 28 to 507 of the family's 1533-position model. The record is from RNAcentral.